Molecule: long non-coding RNA, 791 nt
Organism: Cyprinus carpio (common carp)
Lineage: Eukaryota; Metazoa; Chordata; Actinopteri; Cypriniformes; Cyprinidae
Source: Ensembl
GAAAAGGACACCAUCUACUCGACACAAUUAUGCACAUCUACAGUACAUAUCUACACACUACCUCACUAGACAACAGACUACAGCCACAUCCACUGCCUCACAGUAGUCAUUGAAUAGAAACACAGAGGGCAUCAGGAUACUCGAUGAACAAGGGGUAGUUACUUCUCUUUAUGAAAGGUGUGGUUUGUUAUGUAAAGGGGAAACUAGGAUUUUUCUCAUGAGUGUUACGAAAUACCCAGGAGGCUGAGGAUAACAGAAAGACAGUUUUAUUCAGGCACAAGCAGAGGAGCGGGUAGUGCUGGGAAAAGUGAUAUGGAGACUGGCAGUGAUGAAUGGAUCCAUAGUAGAGGGGUAGAGACGUCAAGGUAGGGAGGUGUACCACACACACGCACGGAGAUGGCUGGGAACUUCUGGAGAUCGCUGGAGAGAGGGCAGCUUUCAGAGGGAUAGUCACGGACCUCAUGAAGAAAUCUGGUCUCUGUUUUCCUCUCAGCCCACACAUUACCUGCGUCUGUUCAUCUAAACCUUCUCCUCAAAAGCAGCUCAUGGACACUAUGUUCAUUGAAGAAAGCAAGUCAAUACAUGAGGGUGGGUAAUGAUGACAGAAUUACAGGCACACUACAAAAUCUAGUUACAGAAGAUGCUUCAAAACCAUCAUCAAGAUAAGUACUUUAAAAAACUGAAUAUGUUCUCACUUUGCAUUAUGUAUUUGAUACCCUAAAGGAACAGUUCAAUACAAUAGUGAAAAAUCUAAUUGCAAAUAUAAGUAAUAAAAUAAUAAAUCUGCAACA